CAAUAGCGUAUAUUAAAGUUGUUGCAGUUAAAAAGCUCGUAGUUGGAUUUCUGUUCUUGGGAUCUGGUCCGCCUCACGGUGAGCACUGGAUAACUGGGGACAUCCUCUCGAAGGCGGCAGGUGCACUUGAUUGUGUGUUUGUUGAAUGCGGGACCUUUACUUUGAAAAAAUUAGAGUGUUCAAAGCAGGCGUCGGCUUGAAUACAUUAGCAUGGAAUAAUGGAAUAGGACUUUGGUUCUAUUUUGUUGGUUUCUAGGACCGAAGUAAUGAUUAAUAGGGACAGUUGGGGGCAUUAGUAUUUAAUUGUCAGAGGUGAAAUUCUUGGAUUUAUGAAAGACUAACUACUGCGAAAGCAUUUGCCAAGGAUGUUUUCAUUAA
RNAcentral lists this ribosomal RNA (378 nucleotides) under uncultured eukaryote. RNAcentral's name for it is "partial 18S ribosomal RNA". It matches the Rfam family "Eukaryotic small subunit ribosomal RNA", at positions 592 to 976 of the family's 1831-position model. The record is from RNAcentral.